This 587-nucleotide ribosomal RNA is filed under the name uncultured bacterium. RNAcentral describes it as "bacterial SSU rRNA". It matches the Rfam family "Bacterial small subunit ribosomal RNA", at positions 912 to 1503 of the family's 1533-position model. The record is from RNAcentral.
GACGGGGACCCGCACAAGCGGUGGAGCAUGUGGUUUAAUUCGAAGCAACGCGAAGAACCUUACCAAGUCUUGACAUCCCUCUGACAGGUGUAGAGAUACAUCCUUCUUCGGACAGAGGAGACAGGUGGUGCAUGGUUGUCGUCAGCUCGUGUCGUGAGAUGUUGGGUUAAGUCCCGCAACGAGCGCAACCCUUAUGCUUAGUAGCCAGCGGUUCGGCCGGGCACUCUAAGCAGACUGCCAGGAAUAACCUGGAGGAAGGUGGGGAUGACGUCAAAUCAUCAUGCCCCUUAUGACUUGGGCUACACACGUGCUACAAUGGCGCCGACAAAGGGAAGCAAACCCGCGAGGGGGAGCAAAUCUCAGAAACGGCGUCCCAGUUCGGACUGUAGUCUGCAACCCGACUAUACGAAGCUGGAAUCGCUAGUAAUCGCGAAUCAGAAUGUCGCGGUGAAUACGUUCCCGGGUCUUGUACACACCGCCCGUCACACCAUGGGAGUCGAUAACGCCCGAAGCCGGUGACCUAACGCAAGAAGGAGCCGUCGAAGGCGGGAUUGGUAACUGGGGUGAAAUCGUAACAAGGUGUUCCU